RNAcentral lists this ribosomal RNA (497 nucleotides) under uncultured bacterium. RNAcentral's name for it is "partial 16S ribosomal RNA". It matches the Rfam family "Bacterial small subunit ribosomal RNA", at positions 28 to 507 of the family's 1533-position model. The record is from RNAcentral.
GAUGAACGCUGGCGGCGUGCCUAAUACAUGCAAGUCGAGCGAACAGACGAGGAGCUUGCUCCUCUGACGUUAGCGGCGGACGGGUGAGUAACACGUGGAUAACCUACCUAUAAGACUGGGAUAACUUCGGGAAACCGGAGCUAAUACCGGAUAAUAUAUUGAACCGCAUGGUUCAAUAGUGAAAGACGGUCUUGCUGUCACUUAUAGAUGGAUCCGCGCCGCAUUAGCUAGUUGGUAAGGUAACGGCUUACCAAGGCGACGAUCCGUAGCCGACCUGAGAGGGUGAUCGGCCACACUGGAACUGAGACACGGUCCAGACUCCUACGGGAGGCAGCAGUAUGGUAUCUUCCGCAAUGGGCGGAAGCCUGACGGAGCAACGCCGCGUGAGUGAUGAAGGUCUUCGGAUCGUAAAACUCUGUUAUUAGGGAAGAACAAAUGUGUAAGUAACUAUGCACGUCUUGACGGUACCUAAUCAGAAAGCCACGGCUAACUACGUG